Molecule: long non-coding RNA, 7280 nt
Organism: Pezoporus occidentalis (night parrot)
Lineage: Eukaryota; Metazoa; Chordata; Aves; Psittaciformes; Psittacidae
Exons: 3
Source: RefSeq, a predicted model, not a curated record
GAUAUCCCAGAUGUGCUGAUAACCUGUUAAAGAGCUGUUUGCAUUGACUGGGUUACUGCUUAUCCUGAUAGUACUCCCUCAGUCCUAUUUAUUUCAUCAUUUGAAUGGUUGUUCUGCUAUAGUAAAUUUGGGGGAAGGAUUUUGGAGGAAUUUUAAUUCUUACGGUGUAAGUGACACACUCGUCAGUCUCAGGAAAAAUCAAAACGUCUGUAGACUGAGGCUACCAAAUACUUCAUUUAGCUUGUGGCAGAAAUACUUCUUUUCCAAUUGAGCACAUAGGUACUGUUUUGUUCUCAUAGAAUGAUAUGUACAGUUCUGAGCUGCUCUUUAAGCUGUUGUUCCUAAUCAGAAGUUCAUGUGAUGUUCUUGCCAUCACCUCUCAUCUCUUAACAAUGUCCUUAGAGAAAGUCCUGUCUAACUAGAGGGAGCAACCUCCAAAACAUCAUUAAACUUACUCCCUUUUCUCAGCAGAGCUAUUACAAGCCUGCUUUUUGUCAGCAGUUCUCCAAGACUUCUUGAAGAAUUUGUGGACCAGCUCAUCUAUGCUGUCAUACUCUCAUAUGGGAAGAGCCACAUGGUUUAUGUUGCUUCACAUGCAGUCAGUCAUGUUAUAGGUGAGCUAAACAGACUGGUUCAGAAAUUAAAGUGUGAGCUUAUGCUGAGGACUUCAGCACAAGUCUGAUUUUCCCUUUAACAAAACAUUUGCUGUUAUUCUCCCAUCCUGAAUGUGUAAGCCAUAUUUUCCUAGUAACUUUCAGAACAGCAAGUUAGCACCUCUGGAAGUAGGAGGCCUCUUCCUAAUCCAUUUAUUUGUGUUUAGGAUCAAUAAUACACCCAUGAGUCCUGUUUGGCAGCAUUAUGUAAUGUGCUGUAGGAUCUUUGCUGUUACACCACCCAGCCAGAAAUGAAGGUGGUAUUUAGAUUCUUCAAUGAAGCAAGAGCUCAGUAUCUGGCACAGAGCUAAGAAUUCAGCCCUUUAUCUUGGUAUUUCCUAAGGCAGUGUAGUCUAAAAAUAGGAGUGAAUACAAGUUAUAGUUCAGUCAGACAUCAGCCACUUGAAUCAUUAAAAUGUUAAAAAGUUAAAAUGCAAUGAUCUGUUCAGGUUUGAAAAUCAGAAGCCCUUAGACCUUAAAUUCUGGUAUCCAUUUCCCUUGUAUCCAUUUGCCUCAUAUCCAUUUCCCUAGUAAAUCUAUCCAGAAUAUUGCAUAAAUCAGAUUGUAUUGGUGAGGAUAAAUGAAUUAUUUUAUAAUACAGCAAUCAGUUCAGAAAAGUCUAAGUAACAGCUGUGCUAGAAUGAAGAAUACUUUGCCGUAAUACCUUUUCAUCACUGAAAUUCUUCAUCUCACAUCUUCCCAAAUUUAUAUUUUUGAAUAUAUGUCUAGUAACUGGAACUCAGACAAGAACUAUCAGGAUAUCUGACAAGGUGCUGCUGUAUUAAAAAUCAUCAUGUAUGUGGGAGGGAACUAUGUAACUUUUUUAUGUUACUUUUUUUUUUACAUACUUCCACUUUUUGCACAGAGAUGCUCCUUGUUAAUUUGAAAGGCAGCCACAAUACAUGAUUUUUCUUAAAUAAGUGUUCCUUUGUGUUUGUGAAUAACAAAGUUCUGAUAAUCAGUAUGUUUUUGGCAGAUUACACAACUGCAUGAUCACUAAUAUGGACAUACUCAGAACAGCAGAAUAUAGGGUAGGGUAAUUUGGUAUUGCCAAACCAGAAGUUCAAAAAUCAUUAGUCAGAUCUCCUAAAAUUAUAAACCUAGUUUAAAAUUACAAGCUUAAAAAACACACAUGGCUUUAUUUACCUUCUGGCUUUUUAGUUUUUAGCAUAUGGUCAGAUUACACUUUUUGGAUUUUCCAUGUAAUCUGCAGAGCUAAUUUAAAAAAAAAAAAUUAAAAUAGCUGAUUACACUAUCUCACAACAAAAACUAAGCUGCUUCAGGUUGAUUAGACUCAAUAAAAUCAUGGAAGUUGUCAGCACUGAUUAAACUAAUGCUUGAUGUUUCAAGAAAAAUUAUUUUAUAAUUAAGUGGUUUUAAAACACAUUCAUUUACAUAGACUUCUGACAGUUGCGGAGGCAUGAUUAAAAGCUGGGGUUAGUAUCACUAGUGCUAACCAGAUGAACUAGUGUGCUGUGCAUUUUAGGCAGUUCUUUACUUUCCUAGAACUGCAGCCUCCUCUUCUUGCAGUCAGUGCCUGCUCUACUGACAGUAAUAAAAAAGGGACUUUAAAGCAGAUAGUUUGCAAGUAAUAAUAGAAUCAGAUCAGAAAAGGACCUUGGUAAAUCAUUUAGACUCAUUUUGUGUCUAACUAAAAUCUCCUUUCUUGCAAUUUAAGGUAAUUUUUUUUUUUCCUCAGUUGUGGGCAUGAGAAAAAGUGAUUUUAUUCUUUUAUAUAUAUGAAAAAACAUGUUUCCCUUUUAUCAUCUUUUCCGUAAAAUGACCUAAAAUCAUUCAAUCUGUGCUCAAAAGUUUUCUCAGCUUCUAGACAUUCUCAUUGCUUUCUUCUGGAUUCUCUGCAUGCAACUUGUAUCUUACUCUUCAAGUGCAUGAUCAAAACUGGAGAUGUUACUAGCUCAUGUCUUAGAAGUUCUGAAGGGGCAGAUUAUACUCCAGUUUAGACAUUUAGGUUCUACCCUUAUUUGCAACAGCAUGAUGCUCCAGACUAAUUUGCAGGAUUUGCAAAAUAACACAUUUAUUCUUUUCAAUGGAAAUUGAAAGUGUAGAUUUAGAUGAGAUCUUGGGAAUUUCUUUACUGUGAGGGUGGUGAGACAUUGGAAGAGGUUGCCCAGAGAAGCUGUGGCUGCCCCAACCCUGUAAGUGUUCAAGGCCAGGUUGGACAGGGCUUGGAGCAACCUGGUGGAAGGUGUCCUUGCCCAUGGCAGGCAGGUUGGAACUGGAUGAUCUUUAAGGUCCCUUCCAACCCAAACCAUUGUAUGCUUCUAUGAAAUUAAGCAAUUGUUCCUUUACUUUCACAGCUAAUGAUUCCAUCUUGCACUUGUUCCUAGUUCCUAUUAAGUAACAUCUUAUGUUUUCAGAUCACAUUUGCACCUUGCCAGGAUUAUUCUGAAUUCUGAUCUUACCUUCUAGUAUACUUGGAAGUCGAAUUCUGCUUAGUCUUGUUUGGAGAUACUAAAAGGACGCUCUGCAUGGUCCAGGGGCAGGUGAAUGGGAAAAACGCAGGAGCAGAUGAAACAGCUGGUAACUGGAACAUCACCUUGUUGUCAGGACUGUUAUUAACUCCGGUAUCAGAUGGAAUUAAAUGAAAAUAAUAAGCAGAUUUGUAAGAACAUUUUAUUAGAGAUACUGUAUCAAAGCACAGAAUAAGCUUUAAAGAUGAUGAAAACUAACCUGGAAUGUCUUCAGCGUUACUCAACAUAGACUACAAAUAAUUGCUACGUUACAGAACAGUCACAGCCUGUUCUAGAUGUCCUACGCUUAGUAUACUGUUAAAGGCCUGUCUUUAGGUGAUGCUAUAAACAUAAUGCCCUUUUCUCCUCUGCUUCAUGGUGGUCUUACUGUAAAGGUCCUUCCUGUUCUCUAUGGCAAGGACACCCCAUUUUCUAACAGAGUUGCCAGCUACAUUGUGCCUUCUCCCUGCAGAAUCCCCAGUGGGAUCUGGCUUUGCCCAUAUAGUCACCAUCUUCCCCUUUGCUCCAUCACAGCCACUGGGAAGAAGCAUCAGCAUUCCAGUAUUGUACUGAAGGCUUUUAAAAUGCCUACGUUAAUGUUCAAGGUGUUACGCGUUAAUAGAGCCGAUACUUUCAACAUCUAUGUACUGAAAUGUUUAGGGCUCUGUAAUUAGAUGAAGCAACCACAUUCAAAAAUAUCUGAACAUCUUUUCUUGCAUUUGUAUAGCAACUUUAUAAACUCAAAAAGGGUAAAGCAAGCACAGACACAUGCCCUAUACAAGCUGCAAUACAGACAGUAUUUUACACACUUCAUAACAACAGUAAUGAAAAUUAUGCCAAUUAUAUAUAAAAUUAUAGACAGACUUCUUGAGAUAACAGUUAUACUGAACAAUGAAACAUCCUUUUAUAGUCAUGAGUAGAAUUAGUAAGAUGCGUAACUAUAGCAGAAUAUAGAUCAGCAUGUUUAGUCUGCUUACAUGUCUCAAUCUGACCCAUUGCUGUCUGGGGGAAACAAAAGAAAUUAAUAUUCUUUUAAAUCCAUGCUGGCCCUAAAUUGAAACAUUUACUGCCUUAUUUUUUUGGUUGGGGCUUCCCCCUUCCCCCCCCCCCCCCCCAUUAAUUUAGCUGUAAACAUUAUAAAAAAUGCAUAAAAAUGCAUUAAAAAUGUUUAAAUCUGAACAUGAAUGCCUGAUUCUCCUCUUCAAGACAGGUUUUGCAAGGCUUAGAUCUAGAACAAGGUGCACCCUGUGCCCUGUGAAGAUUAUUUCACAUUUACUCAUCUCCUUGUUGGUAAAAAAAUUUCACCAUUCUUGUAAUAAGACCAGAGCACCAUUUCUUUACUAUCCACAUACAAGCACUGUGCUUCAUGGAAGGUCCGCUUCAGCUUGCAAAUGAUGAUCAUGGCAGCAGGGGAAUCAGGUCAGCUGGAUCUUUCUCACCAUCCUGUCCUUCCUCUGCUUUUAAGAUUUUUCUUUUUCACCUCAUACUUUUUUUUCUUUUUUAACACUUGGCAAGUUUAGCAUUGUACAUAAGUAUAUACUUCUAAUGUUUGAACUAAAAAAAUCUAAGCAGUUUUUGACAGAAGUUCUAAGAAGCCUUAUUUCAGAAAAGGAGCACUCCAGCACAUGAAUAGCAAAUUCUGCAAACUCAUUUCAGUGCAGCCCUUAACACCUGGCAUCUGCCUCUUUUGGCUGGCUGCUCCAUGAAAGGAGUCUUCAAAUCUGUUUUUAACAGGUGUAAAUAAUAGUCACAAGGAGGUAAGUUUUAUCAUACAGAGAGGAGUCCAACAGAACUUUUACUGCAAGUUCUAAUUUGACUGUUUUGGUGCCUUUUGCGACUGCUGCAGUAUGUCAAAAAAAGGAAAGGUGGUGCCAAUUCAGAUCUGGCACACGCAGUUCUGAGUUUUUAUGAAAUCUUUUGACGACCAGUUCUUCCUCAUGUCUUCUCCAAACCUGGUCCUCUCAGUUGUUCAGAAGCUUAGAAGUCCCUAUUUCACUACUGCCAUGCAGAAAAGAAAUGCAAGAAAAAUAUUAAAAGUCAGAAGCCCACACUCCAGUACUGUAUUUGCUAGCAUGAUGUGGUCCCUCCCACCUCACUAUGGUGUGGUUUUGCUCCAAAUACCCAUCCUUAAGUUCUAUUCAGAGCACCUACCACAAUCAGAACUCUGUUUAAAAGCCAUACAGUUCAUUUCCUUCAACCCCUACCCUAACAAAAUGUAAUUUAACCUUCAAACAUAUUUUGACCUUGUUUCAGAAGCUUCUGUUUGUUCUUUUCUCCUUUGCCUUCCAUUUGCAAAACAGCUAAAGAUUUACUGAAGAAAAACUUCUCUUUACUUUCCAGCAGUGGUUUAUGAUUUAGCUUAGUGGAUGCUCAAAACAUUGCAUGACUGUUACUUCUCCUCAGCCUGGAUUUGUCAUAGCUUAGAACCCCCCUUACUCUAGAAUACUUAUUACUUCUUCAUAUUUGCCUCUGGGUUUGGGGUUGUGGGUUUUGGUUUGUUGGUUGUUUUUUUUUUGUUAAAUGCAGAUAAAUGAUAUAAACAUCUACAAUUCCCAUAAGUCUCUUUUGACCAAACUAAUUUAUAACAAAUAUGAGCAGCUCUGUAUCUGACACAAACAGUCAAGAAAUUGGAAACAUGUGGAUGUAACUUUUAAAGACAAUCCCCGGGUUUUUUUUUUGUUGGUGCACCAACUGCUCUCUCUGGAUACGUAAAUCAUGUUGUACAAAUACACAACUGUCCUGCUUCUGGCUAAUUUACACUUGCUGUGUCUGUGUGCACCAUGGCAGCCUGGACCAAGUAGCUGUGUCUACACUGCAGAGGAGGAAAAGCUUCAAAGCUGCACAUAAGCCAGGUUUAUCAGCUGUCUGCAUUACUUACCUGUUAGAGCAUCCUAAAGGCCAGCUCAGGGCUAAAUUUGCUGGCACACCUUUGAGAGGAAAGCCUUGGGAGUGGUGCACCACACUUCAGCGUGCAUUAUAACAUACCCUGUGUGACAUGUGUCCAGGCCCUCACAGCAUAUGCUAGGUCCACAACUGACUGUAUAUUUUAUUUGCUCUCUGUAUCAUGUCACGUACUUCAUGGUAGGCAAAAAAGCAACCUGGGACAAAUUACUUUUGUUUCAUGACAGGAGGGUGAUGUGAACAUGCAGGUCUUGGGCAAACUGCUAGCUUCAAAGUACUGCUGGUUCUGGCAGCAAGUACAUGUGUCUACCUAUUACUUUCUUCAAAUCUCUGAGGGGAAUUCAUUGGACUGAUGCUGUUAUCUCAAAGUAGCUUUUACCUGACUAGCUCAAAGGUCAAGAAAUGCCUUUUUUUUUUGUUUGUAAACUAACAAAGGAGGAAAAAAAAAAAAGGUAUUUAACUACAGUAUGCAUGUGAACAUUACUUUUCCCCAGGCAACAUCAGUGUUUAACACUGCUGUUUAUCAAGAUGCCGGCCUGCAUUUUACAGUCAAAGAUCUCUGUCAUUUGCAGAUCAUACAUAGCUCAUGCAGUGUGACUGAGCUUCUUGACACCACCAUCCUCAAAUACACCAACUACGCUGUGUGGGACCACCUCUGAAUGUGGGAAGCGCAUUUAUUAGAAGUCUUACAAUUCAGACAGCUGAAAAAAAAAAUACAAAAAGAACACCCCACAGCUAACAAGAUCUCCCAGGUUCCAUUUAAGAGAAGCACCUGCUGGGUUCUUCCUUACCCUGCUUUCUGCAAUGUAAAGGGUAUCAAGAGGCAAAGAUAAGCACAGUUCCAAAAUCUGAAGAAUUAAAUACUUCAAGCUUAGUAAACAAGAGCAGUAGCAUUUAAAGCCUGUUCUCUAAUGAUCUAAACAGCUCCGAUGGCCCAGUCAUACCAUACAGGCUUUUUACUGAACAGUCUAUAGUUCAUCCAGGAUUUCAGUAACUUUGGCACAGCCCCAAUGACUGGGGAGAAAAGCAGAUCCAAAAUAAAAGAUUAUGGUGUGUGAAAUACACUGAAUUAAUGUAUAUGUGUUUUAAGGGACAUCUUUGUUUUGACUCUGGGUAACAAACCAACAUAGCCUGUGAGGUCUGGAAGGCCACAGACUAUUCCUGCUUUCACAGUAGUGCUCUGUUUGAAGCUAGUAUUUCUAUUUGGGGUCUAAGCCACACUGAACUUGAUCAAAUAAACAUUCUCCAAACAAAA